AACUGAUACUACCUGCGGGAACCUGCGGAGGGAUCAUUACAUGGCGGAGGAGGUGGGCACCUAGUAACCCUGGGUGUGUUGCCUUCACGCUUUCUACCCUUGUCUAUUUGCACCUUUUGUCGUUCCCUCGGUGGGUCUUGAACCUGCCGACGGCAACUUUCCCAAAACCUCUUGCAGUAGUAUCGAAUUCUUCUGAUGUAAAUAUCAAAUUUAUUACAACUUUCAGCAAUGGAUCUCUAG
Molecule: unclassified non-coding RNA, 240 nt
Filed under: soil metagenome
Description: partial contains 5.8S ribosomal RNA, internal transcribed spacer 2, and large subunit ribosomal RNA
Source: RNAcentral